AGAGUUUGAUCCUGGCUCAGAACGUACGCUGGCGGCACGCCUAACACAUGCAAGUCGAACGAAGUAGCAAUACUUAGUGGCAGACGGGUGAGUAACAUGUAGGUAUCUGCCCUUUGGCCUGGAAUAACACGAGGAAACUUGUGCUAAUACCGGAUAAGUCUCUACGGAGAAAGCUUUAUGCACCAUUGGAUGAGCCUGCACUUGAUUAGUUUGUUGGUGGGGUAAUGGCCUACCAAGACUGUGAUCAAUAGCUGAUUUGAGAGGAUGAUCAGCCACAUUGGGACUGAGACACGGCCCAAACUCCUACGGGGGGCAGCAGUGGGGAAUCUUGCACAAUGGAGGAAACUCUGAUGCAGCGAUGCCGCGUGAGUGAAGAAGGCCUUUGGGUUGUAAAGCUCUUUCGUCGGGGAAGAAAAUGACUGUACCCGAAUAAGAAGGUCCGGCUAACUUCGUGCCAGCAGCCGCGGUAAUACGAAGGGACCUAGCGUAGUUCGGAAUUACUGGGCUUAAAGAGUUCGUAGGUGGUUGAAAAAGUUGGUGGUGAAAUCCCAGAGCUUAACUCUGGAACUGCCAUCAAAACUUUUCAGCUAGAGUAUGAUAGAGGAAAGCAGAAUUUCUAGUGUAGAGGUGAAAUUCGUAGAUAUUAGAAAGAAUACCAAUUGCGAAGGCAGCUUUCUGGAUCAUUACUGACGCUGAGGAACGAAAGCAUGGGUAGCGAAGAGGAUUAGAUACCCUCGUAGUCCAUGCCGUAAACGAUGUGUGUUAGACGUUGGAAAUUUAUUUUCAGUGUCGCAGCGAAAGCGAUAAACACACCGCCUGGGGAGUACGACCGCAAGGUUAAAACUCAAAUGAAUUGACGGGGACCCGCACAAGUAGUGGAGCAUGUGGUUUAAUUCGAAGAUACGCGCAGAACCUUACCAACACUUGACAUGUUCGUCGCGACUUUAAGAGAUUAAAGUUUUCGGUUCGGCCGGACGAAACACAGGUGCUGCAUGGCUGUCGUCAGCUCGUGUCGUGAGAUGUUGGGUUAAGUCCCGCAACGAGCGCAACCCUCACUUUUAGUUGCCAUCAUUAAGUUGGGCACUCUGAAAGAACUGCCAGUGAUAAGCUGGAGGAAGGUGGGGAUGACGUCAAGUCCUCAUGGCCCUUACGUGUUGGGCUACACACGUGCUACAAUGGUAUCUACAACAGGAAGCAAAACUGCGAAGUUAAGCAAAUCCUUAAAAGAUACCUCAGUUCGGAUUGCACUCUGCAACUCGAGUGCAUGAAGCUGGAAUUACUAGUAAUCGUGGAUCAGCGUGCCACGGUGAAUGCGUUCCCGGGUCUUGUACACACCGCCCGU
This 1342-nucleotide ribosomal RNA is filed under the name uncultured Pelagibacterales bacterium. RNAcentral's name for it is "bacterial SSU rRNA". It matches the Rfam family "Bacterial small subunit ribosomal RNA". Lineage: Bacteria; Pseudomonadati; Pseudomonadota; Alphaproteobacteria; Candidatus Pelagibacterales. The record is from RNAcentral.